RNAcentral lists this transfer RNA (70 nucleotides) under Cyanistes cyanus (azure tit). Its description in RNAcentral is "tRNA-Pro". It matches the Rfam family "tRNA". From Rfam's summary of the family: Transfer RNA (tRNA) molecules are approximately 80 nucleotides in length. Their secondary structure includes four short double-helical elements and three loops (D, anti-codon, and T loops). Lineage: Eukaryota; Metazoa; Chordata; Aves; Passeriformes; Paridae. The record is from RNAcentral.
CAGAAGGUAGUUUAAUUGAGAAUGUCAGCUUUGGGAGCUGGUGGUGGAGGUUUAAUUCCUUCCUUUCUGA